RNAcentral lists this long non-coding RNA (1770 nucleotides) under Triticum aestivum (bread wheat). Its description in RNAcentral is "long non-coding RNA (TAES_LNC000533)". The record is from RNAcentral. Lineage: Eukaryota; Viridiplantae; Streptophyta; Magnoliopsida; Poales; Poaceae.
AAGAUAUAUGGGCAGGUAACAAUCCCGUUUUCAGUUUGAAAUUAGCCACUCAAAGAUACAAAUAACAGCUGGUAUCCUAAAAGUUGAGGACAGUGCCUCUACCAUUUUGGUGUUAAGAUACAAACGACAACAACCGUCGUCGUAAAGAAAAUUCAGGACAGUGCAUCAUAUUUAGUUCCCGAAUGGAUUGCUGAGCUACGUUGCCUGCGGAUCCUCAAUCAGCGCGUGUUGCACCUGUCGCAUGAUGUGUUUUGUGUUCUCUCCAUCGCUGCUGAUGCCGGGGUCCAGGUGGUGGAUGUCUCCCAAGACAAGGAUGUCACGGUCGGCACAAGGUUGUUCCCAGUUCUGAGUGUGAUGAAGGUGUCAGUUGUGUAUCUAAGCUUCGAGUCAGGAGCUAUGCCCAAGCUACAAACACUCACCCUGGUUUCAGCUGGAAAGAUUGAAGAGGCGCUACAUCAAUCUGGCUCACGAUGAAUUCUGUCGCCACUCUGCUGUCAUAAUCAACAUUUGCACUGUUUAUUUGAUUUCUUUUCUUGAGCUGUAAAACUGAUGCAACUAAAGCAGACAGAGUUUGGAAAUGUUUGGGCCUAGUAGUAGCAACAAUCUAUCGGAAAACAGCGCAUCCAGCCAAUGAGUAGAACUACAAUGCUACCAGGCUGUAAUCAGAAAUGCUGCUGUUUUUCUUUUUCCUUUUACCUGAAGCCAGCCUGCUUCGAUGCUGGUAACAUAACCUUGUCAAUGGAUGUGGGUGCUAACUGAACACCAGCUUCACCAACACACCAGCCUAGCUAUAUGAUGCCGAGGUUCUAUUUCUUUGAUUUUUGGGUCUUUAACAUUCUGGUUUGAAAUAAGCUUGUACAAACUGGAAAUCAUACAGAUCAGAACAUGGCUUGGUAAGAAAUAAGCUUUGGACCGGAGAUGACUAGGAAAGUGAAACGCCUAGUUAAAUCACACAUAACUGGUAGUACAUGGCUGGCUCCCACCUCAACUAAUCCUAAGUUGAAAGGAGUACCUGCAGCAGCUUAUCAGCAGGUAACAUUCUCGAUUUCAAUUUCGAAUUACCCACUUAAAAGAUAAAAACAACAGCUGGUAUCCUAAAAGUUCAGAGCAGUUCAUCUAUAUAUCCUUUUGGGGUUAGGCAACGACAGCAGCCGUCUCUCCUUCUACUUGGCUCGACUGCUUCUGGCAAGGAAAACACCAGUGCCAGUGUGCCAGAUGAUGAUGCCUAGAAUGCCACGAGCUGCGCUGCUCCUUUUGAGGGAGCACAUCAAGCCCAAAAAAAAAAAGAAAGAAGAGAUAAAUGCCAACAAUGGCAGCUCGACAAAGCACAAAUGACUCGCCACUGCUGCGCCCUCCGGAUUCUUCCCACCACGCACCGAGGCUCCGAACCUCCACGUACCAAGCAGCACCUCCAAGAAGGGAUGCAACGUUGACGACGCUGCUACCCGAACAUAUCCUAGGGUUUCCCCCGGCACGCGAAAGGGAGUGGGGAUGGGCAACACCGACGCCCUUCAGGAAGGAAAGGCGUCACCCGCGAGCGAUACCGCGUCGGAGCCGGAUCAACCGGUAGGGAUUUCUCCCGCAUCCCAAACACUACUACCUGCCUAUCCGGAGCCAACCAUCCAACUUGCCACCCGCUAGCAUACGCCACCAUGGUCUUGAAGUCAUCCAUGCCGCCUCACUGAGAUCGCAUCACGAGGCCUAAAGGAUAGAGAGAGGGACGCCAGGAAACGGGAGGGGCAGCAUCGGAGCUGAGCCGGAGAGAAGCAC